Long non-coding RNA from Leucoraja erinaceus (little skate), 3648 nucleotides. RefSeq lists it as uncharacterized. Lineage: Eukaryota; Metazoa; Chordata; Chondrichthyes; Rajiformes; Rajidae. The transcript is spliced from 3 exons. The record is from RefSeq and is a predicted model, not a curated record.
UGGUUAUAUGGUAUUGUACAUGAAUUUGGCUUAUGACAAUAGACAAUAACAAUAGAUGCAGGAGGAGGCCAUUCGGCCCUUUGAGCCAGCACCGCCAUUCAACGUGAUCAUGGCUGAUCAUCCCCAAUCAAUACCCCCUUCCUGCCUCCUCCCCAUAUCCCCUGACUCCGCUAUGUUUAAGAGCCCUAUCUAGCUCUCUCUUGAAAGCAUCCAGAGAACCGGCCUCCACCGCCUUCUGAGGCAGAGAAUUCCACAGACUCACCACUCUCUGUGAGAAAAAGUGUUUCCUCGUCUCCGUUCUAAAUAGCUUUUACUCCUUAUUCUUAAACUGUAUUUAUGUGUAUUAUUAUCUGGAUUGGUUCGAAAGCGGGCCUCUGCUGCUAAGGCAGCAACUGUACUGCUGCGCCACCGUGCCACCCACUGUACAUUGCUCCCAGCGAGAAGACACAGGACUUCUAUGUUCUAUGUUCCUAGAGAAUUUAUUGGAGACUUUUGAAAACUUAUUUCUAUUAACAUCGAUCGGCACGGUGGCGCAGGGGUGGAGUUGCUGCUUUACAUCGCCAGAGGCCCGAAUUCGAUCCUGACUACGAGUGCUGUCUUGACGGAGUUUGUACGUUCUCCCCGUGACCUGCGUGGGUUUCCUCUGGGUGCUCUGGUUUCCUCCCACACUACAAGGAUGUGCUGGUUCGUAGGUCAAUUUUAGCUUGAGUGUUAUAAAAUGAAAAUUGUCCUUAGUGUGUUGGAUAGCGUCAGUGUGCGGGGAUCGCUGGACCGUACGGACUCGCUGGGCCGAAGGGUCAGUUUCCGCGCUGUAUCUCUAAACUACGCUGAACAUCACCUUUCUAUAUACUCAAACAAUUGUACAGUCCAGCUAUUGCCUUCAUCACUAACAAACUUGGAGCGCAGGUGGAUGAGGGGUGAUCUUAUAGAGGUGUACAAAAUCAUGAGAGGAACAGAUUGGGUAGAUGCACAGAAUCUCUUGCCCAAAGUAGGGGAAUCGAGGACCAGAGGACCUUAGGUUUAAGGUGAAGGGGAAAAGAUCUAAUAGGAAUAACUAACCUGAUCUACUGGCGGCCCAGCACCAACUCAUCCUCCCAUUCCAAAUCCGACCUUUCUGUCCUGGGCAUCCUCCAUGGCCAGAGUGAGUCCCACCAUAAAUUGGAGGAGCAGCACCUCAUAUUUCGCUUGGGUAGUUUACACCCCAGCGGUAUGAACAUUGACUUCUCCAAUUUCAGGUAGUCUAUUUCCUUCGCUCCAUAGAAGCUGCCUCACCCGCUGAGUUUCUCCAGCAUUUAAUGUCUACCAUGGGAAUCCAAGAGGUAACUUGUUCACACCAAGUGUGGUGGGUGUAUGGACAAAGCUGCCAGAGGAGGUAGUUGAGGCUGGGACUAUCCCAUUGUUUAAGAAACAAUUAGACAGGUACAUGGACAGGACAGGUUUGGAGGGAUAUGGGCCAAGCGCAGGCAAGUGGAACUAGUGUAGCUGGGACAUUGUUGGCCGGUUGGGGCAAGUUGGGCCAAAGGACCUGUUUCCACACUGUAUCCCUCUAUGACUCUAUGAAGAAUGUUCCCCAAAGUCUUUAAAUAUCAGGUUCUUUCGCCUGAAGGCAAGAAUCAGUGGAUAUAUUUAAUCGAGAGGAAAAACAGGUGUGGCUAAUAAUGGUAAUUAGUUGAAUGGCACAGUAAUUUAGUCACUGACCCAUAGUUAUAUAGCAGGGCAAGUGUAUAAAUAAUUCAUAAUUUGAAAGGCUAUUGCAUGAAUAUGUUAAUUGGGCUGACAAGGAUGCAUUGAGCUAUGCUUGAUGUUAGUGUUAAUACACCUUCACAUAUUUGUAUAUACAUUUCUCAGGUUAACACAGCUGAUUUCCAAAUCCAAGUAUCGAUCAGGCAAUCUUCCCUCAAUAAUUAUAGAUUCCACUUUGGGAAAAUUAAAUUCGAAUUAAGAUGGUGUCUCGUUCAAAAAUUUGUGGUAAUUUUGUUUCUGCUUAUUUACACAGAGCGGCGAAACGUCAGCUGAUAAACUUCAACCCAGAGUAUAAUCUCCCGACUCUACAGAAUUCAGAGGUGGUACAGGGGUGCAAAGGUGGAGUUGCUGCAUUACAGCGCCAAAGACCCGGGUUCGAUCCUGACUACGGGCGCUGUCUGUACGGAGUUUGCACGUCCUCCCCGUGACCUGCGUGGGUUUUCUCCGGGUGCUCCAGUUUCCCCCCGCACUCCAAAGACGUGCAGGAGUAAUUCUCUCAUUUGACCUUCAUUGAAAGACAGCACGGAAACAGGCAACAGGCCCUUCGGCCCACCGGCUCCACGCCAAACAUCGAUCACCCGUUCACACUAACGUUACCCCACUGUCACAGCCACUCCCUACACGUUGGGGGCAAGCUACAGAGAGGGCCAAUUAACCUAAAAAUCCACACGUCUCCGGGAUGUUGGAGGAAACCGGAGCACCACGGGACCAGAGAGAGAGAGCAUGCAAACUCCACACAGACAGCAUCCAAGGAAGGAGCAGCGGAUGCAGGUUUAAACCGAAGAUAGACACAAAAAGCUGGAGGAACUCAGCGGGACAGGCAGCAUCUCCGGAGAAAACGAAGAGGUGACGUUUCGGGUUGAGACCCUUCUUCAGACUGAGAGUCGGGGGAAAGGGAAACUAGAGGUUCAGAACCAAUCAGAGCCAUCGCCGAUGACCAAGGAAAGGUGGAGCCCACAACGGUACAUUGUUGGCUGUGGAAGAGGCGAUGAUUGUUGGAAUGAACGAAAGUCAAGUCAAGUCAAGAGAGUUUAUUGUCAUGUGUCCCAGAUAGGACAAUGCAAUUCUUGCUUUGCUUCAGCACAACAGAACAUAGUAGGCAUUGACUACAAAACAGAUCAGUGUGUCCAUAUACCGUAAUAUAAAUAUAUACACACAUGAAUAUAUAAACUGAUAAAGUGCAAAUAACAGAUAAUGGGUUAUUAAUGUUCAGAGUUUUGUCCGAGCCAAGUUUAAUAGCCUGAUGGCUGUGGGGAAGUAGCUAUUCCUGAACCUGGACGUUGCAGUCUUCAGGCUCCUGUACCUCCUGCCUGAAGGUAGCGGGGAGAUGAGUGUGUGGCCAGGAUGGUGUGGGUCCUUGCUAAUGCUGCCAGCCUUUUUGAGGCAGCGACUGCGAUAGAUCCCCUAUCCCGAAAGAGGUGAUAAUGCUUUUCUUGCUAUUAUGUACAGGGUUUGAUGAGAAGAUGUAACUGCUAAAUAAAGAGAAUUUUCAUUUGACUGGAUGGUCGAAUUAGCCAUCCAACCAUCCAGUCGGGUAUCCUGAGAAAUAUUGAAAUAAAGAUUCCCUUUCUCAGCACCAUCCAUAUACCUUUACCCCUCUAAUUAAGAUUAGGUGUUGGCAGACGUAAUCAGAGUUCAAAAAUGUGGACACUCUUGAACAGGUAUAUGGAUCGGAAAGGUUUAACAGGGAUAUGGGCCAAACAUGGACAGGGGGGGGACAAGUGUAGAAGGGGCAUCUUGGUCAACAUGGCCAAAAUGGGCCAAAGGGCCUGUUUCCAUACUGCAUGACUCUCCUAUGAAUCUCCAGGCCAAACCUGCAGAUAGACAAUAGACAAUAGGUGCAGGAGUAGGCUAUUCGGCCCUUCGAGCCAGCACCGUCAUUCAAUGUAAUCAUGGCUGAUCAUC